CUCUGUUUGAAGGUAUAAAGAGUAUAACCUGCUCACUGAUAAAAGUUUAAGAGCCGCAGUAUUUUGACUGUGCAAAGGUAGCAUAAUCGUUUGUUUUUUAAUUGGAAUCUUGUAUGAAUGGUUGGACAAGAGAAAAACUGUCUUUAUAAGAAAAAUUGAAUUUAACUUUUAGAUGAAAAGGUCUAAAUAAAUUAAAGGGACGAUAAGACCCUAUAAAGCUUAAUAUAAAAAGUUAGUUAAUUAAAUUUUAUUAAAAUAAAAAUGAAUUAAUUUAAUAUAUUUUGUUGGGGCGACAGAGGUAAAAUUGUUAUUAACUACUUAAAUAAGAUUCAAAUAUAAGUGUAAUUUUAAAAGAUCCUAGUUAAAGAUUUAAAGUUUAAGUUACUUUAGGGAUAACAGCGUUAUUUUUUUUGAGAGUACUUAUCGAGAAAAAAGUUUGCGACCUCGAUGUUGAAUUAAAAUAUCUUUAUAAUUGCAGAAGUUAUAAAAGAAGGUCUGUUCGACCUUUAAAUUUUUACAUGAUUUGAGUUCAGACCGGCGUGAG
Molecule: ribosomal RNA, 544 nt
Filed under: Xenograpsus testudinatus
Lineage: Eukaryota; Metazoa; Arthropoda; Malacostraca; Decapoda; Xenograpsidae
Description: partial large subunit ribosomal RNA
Rfam family: Bacterial large subunit ribosomal RNA
Source: RNAcentral